This 483-nucleotide ribosomal RNA is filed under the name uncultured bacterium. RNAcentral's name for it is "partial 16S ribosomal RNA". It matches the Rfam family "Bacterial small subunit ribosomal RNA", at positions 28 to 523 of the family's 1533-position model. The record is from RNAcentral.
GACGAACGCUGGCGGCGUGCUUAACACAUGCAAGUCGAACGAUGAAGCUGGAGCUUGCUCCGGUGGAUUAGUGGCGAACGGGUGAGUAACACGUGAGCAAUCUGCCCUUGACUCUGGGAUAACUGCAGGAAACUGUAGCUAAUACCGGAUAUGAGGCUCGAAGGCAUCUUCGGGUCUGGAAAGAAUUUCGGUCAAGGAUGAGCUCGCGGCCUAUCAGCUUGUUGGUGAGGUAAUGGCUCACCAAGGCGACGACGGGUAGCAGGCCUGAGAGGGUGAGCGACCACACUGGGACUGAGACACGGCCCAGACUCCUACGGGAGGCAGCAGUGGGGAAAAUUGCACAGUGGGCGAAAGCCUGAUGCAGCAACGCCGCGUGAGGGAUGAAGGCGUUCGGGUUGUAAACCUCUUUUAGCAGGGAAGAAGCGAAAGUGACGGGACCUGCAGAAAAAGCACCGGCUAACUACGUGCCAGCCGCCGCCGUAA